AACAAGGAUUCCCCUAGUAACUGCGAGUGAAGCGGGAAAAGCUCAAAUUUAAAAUCUGGCGGUCUUUGGCCGUCCGAGUUGUAAUCUAGAGAAGUAAUGCCCGUGCUGGACCGUGUAUAAGUCUCCUGGGAUGGGGCGUCAUAGAGGGUGAGAAUCCCGUCUUUGACACGGACUACCAGUGCAUUGUGGUAUGCUCUCAAAGAGUCGAGUUGUUUGGGAAUGCAGCUCAAAAUGGGUGGUAAAUUCCAUCUAAAGCUAAAUAUUGGCGAGAGACCGAUAGCGAACAAGUACCGUGAGGGAAAGAUGAAAAGAACUUUGGAAAGAGAGUUAAACAGUACGUGAAAUUGCUGAAAGGGAAACGCUUGAAGUCAGUCGCGUUGGCCAGGGAUCAGCCUUGCUUUUGCAUGGUGUACUUUCUGGUUGACGGGUCAGCAUCAAUUUUGACCACUGGAAAAGGGCCUGGGGAAUGUGGCAGCUUCGGCUGUGUUAUAGCCCCUAGUCGCAUACGGUGGUUGGGAUUGAGGAACUCAGCAC
RNAcentral lists this ribosomal RNA (534 nucleotides) under Agaricus hondensis. Its description in RNAcentral is "LSU rRNA". It matches the Rfam family "Eukaryotic large subunit ribosomal RNA", at positions 67 to 601 of the family's 3401-position model. Lineage: Eukaryota; Fungi; Basidiomycota; Agaricomycetes; Agaricales; Agaricaceae. The record is from RNAcentral.